Myotis lucifugus (little brown bat) is the source of this 74-nucleotide non-coding RNA. Lineage: Eukaryota; Metazoa; Chordata; Mammalia; Chiroptera; Vespertilionidae. The record is from Rfam.
GACACUUUUCGGAUGAUGCACCCGGAAUCAGGCUCCCUUCUCUCUGGUUCUGGGUGCAUCACCUGAAAACUGCA